Molecule: long non-coding RNA, 969 nt
Organism: Bombus huntii
Lineage: Eukaryota; Metazoa; Arthropoda; Insecta; Hymenoptera; Apidae
Exons: 3
Source: RefSeq, a predicted model, not a curated record
ACUUAUAAUAUUAAUUGAGAUACUUUUGACAUGAAUACACCGUUUGACUGUAAGAGUAGGUAUCUGAAGGAAUCGAUGAAUGAAUAGUUUUAACAGUAAAGAUGUAGGCACGUGAGCUCGUAACCAAUGUCAUCGUUUCUAACGGUGUCACGCCGAUAAAGUCAGUAACAGGUGGCAUUUUUACACUCUGUUACACUUAACGCGCUGAAAACGAUGCAGCAAUUGUGAGAUUUUUCAUCUGCAAAUGACGAAGGAAAUACAAUUUAGCUCGACUAUGUUGCGUUUGCGUCAAAAUCCCAUACAAAUCAGACCAUCGAAUGAAUCACUUACAAGCAAUAGUUAGAUCAUAAGAUGAAGUUAAUCGAGACGUUCAGCAAAUAUCGGCGUGACUUAGAGUUACUGAAAUCAGAGUAUGUACAUUACAGAGAAAAUACGGCUAAAUAGUAAAAGUCACAUGCUUGGACUCAAACGAUAGACAGGUGGUGAAACAGAUUAAACUAUUAUACUGUUAUUUUGCCGAAAAGAUUUAUUUUCAUCUUUGCUUACGACAUCUAUCCGUCAUUUCUGCAAUUGAGAGAGAAUUUUCAUCGACUAAUAAAAUAUGAUAACAGACGGAACUUAGCGUUUGAUAGUUUUUACAUUGCUGUCGUUAAGGAAGCAGAAAGAAAAUCUAAAAAAUGAUAUCAGGGCUAAAUGAACAAAGAUAAGUAGUUUAUCAUGGCGAUAAGUGGUAACUACAAUAAACAUAUAUAACACGGAGAAACUAGAAAUAAGUUAUUGAGUGACACACUGAGUGACACGAUGUUUGGAAAGUUAAGUGCACGCUUGAUCAUGGUGUUCUUGGUCUCGAUGCUGUUAGUCAUGGGCAUUGCUGUGCCAGGAACCCUUGCCAGAGAUGGAUUUCCUUACUAUGAUCAGACCCAGUUGAACGCAACUAUUGCAGCAUUGGUACACAGCAAUGGACCUGUG